GUGGAUGAUGCAUUCAGACCGAAGUGGGCUGAGGAGAGAGAGGAAGAUGAGAAAGUGGUCACAGUGCACUGGCUCUACCUGACAGGAAGCAUUUCUGGCCCAGCUGGAAGUGAGCAGAGGGCCGUGAGGCUCCUGAAGACCAUCCCAGAGACCACGGGUCACCCAACAUAUGCCAUGCUAAGGCUGGAUCUGUUAUGGUGAGAUUGGGCCUCAACUCCAAAAGGACCUUGUCAAGGAUUUUAU
Molecule: long non-coding RNA, 243 nt
Filed under: Castor canadensis (American beaver)
Lineage: Eukaryota; Metazoa; Chordata; Mammalia; Rodentia; Castoridae
Description: lncRNA (ENSCCNG00000005311.1)
Source: RNAcentral